GCUUAGAAGCAGCCACUCAUUAAAAGAGUGCGUAAUAGCUCACUGGUCGAGUGACUCUGCGCCGAAAAUUUAACGGGGCUAAACUAUACACCGAAGCUUGGGAUACAUCUAAUGUAUGGUAGGAGAGCGUUCUGUAUGGGGAGAAGUCGUAGCGAAAGCGGCGGUGGACUAUACAGAAGUGAGAAUGCCGGAAUAAGUAGCGAGAAUUAAGUGAGAAUCUUAAUGGCCGAAAGUCUAAGGUUUUUGGAGGAAGGUUCGUCCGCUCCAAGUAAGUCGGGAGCUAAGGUCAGGCCGAAAGGCGUAGCCGAUGCACAUACGGUUGAUAUUCCGUAACCAUCUGUAAUUUAAGCAAAGGGACACUUCAAAAGGGUGUGACCCGGGCGUUGGUUGACCCGGGCGUAAGGGACCGAAAUUAGAGUAGGGAAGCACACUUGGCUGAAGGCGAGAAAAGCUUUGCGUAUAGAAACAGAUGCCCGUACCGCAAACCGACACAGGUGGACAGGAAGAGAAUUCUAAGGCCAGCGGGAGAAGGGUAGUUAAGGAACUCGGCAAAUUGACUCCGUAACUUCGGAAUAAGGAGUGCUCGAAAGAGCCGCAGAGAAUAGGCCCAGGCGACUGUUUAGCAAAAACACAGGUCUCUGCCAAAUCGAAAGAUGAAGUAUAGGGGCUGACACCUGCCCGGUGCCGGAAGGUUAAGAGGAGGAGUGAGAGCUCCGAAUUGAAGCCCCGGUAAACGGCGGCCGUAACUAUAACGGUCCUAAGGUAGCGAAAUUCCUUGUCGGGUAAGUUCCGACCCGCACGAAUGGUGUAACGAUCUGGACACUGUCUCAACUACCCACCCGGCGAAAUUGUAGUACCGGUGAAGAUGCCGGUUACCUGCGGCAAGACGGAAAGACCCCAUGGAGCUUUACUGUAGCCUGAUAUUGGGUUUCGGAAAUCUAUGUACAGGAUAGGCGGGAGACUGGGAAACAUGAGCGUCAGCUUGUGUGGAGUCGAUGUUGGGAUACCGCCCUUAGGUUUCUGGAAUUCUAACCUGCGGCCGUGAAUCCGGUCGGGGGACAUUGUCAGGUGGGCAGUUUGACUGGGGCGGUCGCCUCCGAAAAGGUAACGGAGGCGCUCAAAGGUUAGCUCAGCACGGACGGAAACCGUGCCUCUGAGUGUAAACGCAAAAGCUAGCCUAACUGCGAGGGUGACGGCCCGAGCAGUAACGAAAGUUGGAGUUAGUGAUCCGGCGGUAUGUGAAUGGAAAUGCCGUCGCUCAACGGAUAAAAGCUACCCUGGGGAUAACAGGCUGAUCUCCCCCAAGAGUCCACAUCGACGGGGAGGUUUGGCACCUCGAUGUCGGCUCAUCACAUCCUGGGGCUGUAUUCGGUCCCAAGGGUUCGGCUGUUCGCCGAUUAAAGUGGUACGCGAGCUGGGUUCAGAACGUCGCGAGACAGUUCGGUCCCUAUCUGUCGUGGGCGCAGGAUAUUUGAGGAGCUCUGUCCUUAGUACGAGAGGACCGGGAUGGACGUACCUCUGGUGCACCAGUUGUCAUGCCAAUGGCACGGCUGGGCAGCUAUGUACGGAACGGAUAAACGCUGAAAGCAUCUAAGCGUGAAGCCGACUCCAAGAUUAGAUAUCCCAUCGUAUAACGAGUAAGACCCCUUGAAGACUACGAGGUUGAUAGGCUGCGUGUGUAAGUGCCGUGAGGCAUUCAGCUUGGCAGUACUAAUAGGUCGAGGGCUUGACCA
This 1733-nucleotide ribosomal RNA is filed under the name human gut metagenome. RNAcentral's name for it is "bacterial LSU rRNA". It matches the Rfam family "Bacterial large subunit ribosomal RNA", at positions 1104 to 2925 of the family's 2925-position model. The record is from RNAcentral.